GAGACACCCCUAUGGAGCAGGACUUGCUUCAGUGGUGCUCACUGAGUCUGCCCCUUGAGUGUGUCACU
Non-coding RNA from Myotis lucifugus (little brown bat), 68 nucleotides. NCBI's taxonomy places the organism in Eukaryota, Metazoa, Chordata, Mammalia, Chiroptera, Vespertilionidae. The record is from Rfam.